AAAUAUAUGUGGGGAGCUCACAAACGUGGGCUGAGAGUAAGCGAAAGUGCUUUGACCCUUCACCUGAUUUGGGUAAUGCCAACGUAGGGAACAAGAAAGAAUUGUUU
This 107-nucleotide non-coding RNA is filed under the name Ruminococcaceae bacterium CPB6. RNAcentral's name for it is "TPP riboswitch aptamer (THI element)". It matches the Rfam family "TPP riboswitch aptamer (THI element)". Rfam says of the family: Vitamin B(1) in its active form thiamin pyrophosphate (TPP) is an essential coenzyme that is synthesised by coupling of pyrimidine and thiazole moieties in bacteria. The previously detected thiamin-regulatory element, thi box was extended, resulting in a new, highly conserved RNA secondary structure, the THI element, which is widely distributed in eubacteria and also occurs in some archaea. Lineage: Bacteria; Bacillati; Bacillota; Clostridia; Eubacteriales; Oscillospiraceae. RNAcentral also lists the same sequence under 1 other name. The record is from Rfam by way of RNAcentral.